CACACAGUUUCAACAGUCACACCAAUCUCCUUAUCACCAGCAACACAUUGCGCAGUCACUAGGCCCAAACACACAGGAUCCUCACAUGCUCAACAAUAUCACGACGUCGCACACACAAAAUUAAAUCAAAAACCCACCAAAGACUAUACACUUAUCAAUGUAACCAUUAUUCAAACCAUACAACUAUCCACGCUAUUAAUCCAUAUAAACUAACCGAUCACAUAACAUUUCAACAAAUUCAUCUCUACAAUUAUCUGUACUAUAAAUCAACUUUUGACUAACCAACUAUAUCACAUUCUAGUAACCUCAUCUUUACAGUCAGUGGUUAUGGUACAGUUAGUAAGUGAUUAUAAUACAGUUUUAAAGUCACAGAUCAGUUAGUAACAGUUAUGGUAUUAUACAUAUAACAUAAAACAGCAAUUGUUAGUAAUUUUUACACAAUGUCAGUGGUUAUGGUACAUGUCAGUAGUUAUG
Non-coding RNA from Pelobates cultripes (western spadefoot toad), 474 nucleotides. The record is from the annotation of a GenBank genome assembly. NCBI's taxonomy places the organism in Eukaryota, Metazoa, Chordata, Amphibia, Anura, Pelobatidae.